UAGGUGGAUUUUAAGUCAUGUGUCUAAGUGCGGGGCUCAACCCCGUAUAGGCGCAAGAAACUGAGAUUCUUGAGUGCAGGAGAGGAAAGUGAAUUCCCCAGUGUAGCGGUGAAAUGCGUAGAUAUUGGGAGGAACACCAGUGGCGAAGGCGACUUUCUGGACUGUGUCUGACACUGAGGCGCGAAAGCUAGGGGAGCGAACGGGAUUAGAUACCCCGGUAGUCCUAGCCGUAAACGAUGGGUACUAGGUGUAGAGGGUAUCGACCCCUUCUGUGCCGCAGUUAACACAAUAAGCACUCCGCCUGGGGAGUACGGCCGCAAGGUUGAAACUCAAAGGAAUUGACGAGGGCCCGCACAAGCGGUGGAGCAUGUGGUUUAAUUCGACGCAACGCGAAGAACCUUACCAGGGCUUGACAUCCUACGAACUCUCUAGAAAUAGGGAGGUGCCCUUCGGGGAGCGUAGAGACAGGUGGUGCAUGGUUGUCGUCAGCUCGUGUCGUGAGAUGUUGGGUUAAGUCCCGCAACGAGCGCAACCCUUAUCCUUUGUUGCCAGCGCGUAAAGGCGGGAACUCAAGGGAGACUGCCGCAGACAAUGCGGAGGAAGGCGGGGAUGACGUCAAGUCAUCAUGCCCCUUAUGUCCUGGGCUACACACGUACUACAAUGGGCUUAAACAAAGCGCAGCAAAACCGCGAGGUUGAGCGAAACGCAUAAACAAGCUCUCAGUUCGGAUCGGAGGCUGCAACUCGCCUCCGUGAAGUCGGAAUCGCUAGUAAUCGCAGGUCAGCAUACUGCGGUGAAUACGUUCCCGGGCCUUGUACACACCGCCCGUCACACCACGAAAGUUGGCAACACCCGAAGCCGGUGGGGUAACCAGAAAUGGAACUAGCCGUCUAAGGUGGGGUCAAUGAUUGGGGUGAAGUCGUAACAAGGUAACCGUA
RNAcentral lists this ribosomal RNA (938 nucleotides) under uncultured bacterium. Its description in RNAcentral is "bacterial SSU rRNA". It matches the Rfam family "Bacterial small subunit ribosomal RNA", at positions 572 to 1504 of the family's 1533-position model. The record is from RNAcentral.